Molecule: transfer RNA, 83 nt
Filed under: Clostridiales bacterium
Lineage: Bacteria; Bacillati; Bacillota; Clostridia; Eubacteriales
Also listed under: 2 other names
Description: tRNA-Leu
Rfam family: tRNA
About the family: Transfer RNA (tRNA) molecules are approximately 80 nucleotides in length. Their secondary structure includes four short double-helical elements and three loops (D, anti-codon, and T loops).
Source: RNAcentral
GCGGAUGUGGCGAAAUUGGCAGACGCGCUAGACUUAGGAUCUAGUGGGCGACCGUGGGGGUUCAAGUCCCUUCAUCCGCACCA